AAAACCCAAAGGCGAAAUGAAAGUAAAUAAAGAAAUAUGAUUUUAUCAGUUUCUUUAUAGGGAAGAUGGAUAGCGUGUCAUUAAUAAUAGUAGCUUGCUAUUAUUAUUAUUGGCAAUAGCUGUCCCGCACUCCCGGGGCGCUUGUUUCUCGCUUUGCGAGUCACUGCGCACCUAGAGCGUACACGCUGAUACCCGAAAGAUGGUGAACUAUGCCUGGCCAGGACGAAGCCAGGGGAAACCCUGGUGGAGGUCCGCAGCGAUUCUGACGUGCAAAUCGAUCGUCGGAGCUGGGUAUAGGGGCGAAAGACCAAUCGAACCAUCUAGUAGCUGGUUCCCUCUGAAGUUUCCCUCAGGAUAGCUUGCGCUCAUUUGAUACGAGUCUCAUCCGGUAGAGCGAAUGAUUAGAGGCAUUGGGGUCGAAACGACCUCAACCUAUUCUCAAACUCCAAAUAGAUGAGAACCCCGGCUUUCUUAAAAAUGAAGCCGUGGGAUUCGGAUCAGAGUGCCAAGUGGGCCAAUUU
This 521-nucleotide ribosomal RNA is filed under the name Schidium sp. RNAcentral's name for it is "partial large subunit ribosomal RNA". It matches the Rfam family "Eukaryotic large subunit ribosomal RNA", at positions 703 to 1137 of the family's 3401-position model. The record is from RNAcentral. Lineage: Eukaryota; Metazoa; Arthropoda; Insecta; Hemiptera; Reduviidae.